CGGUGGGACGCUGGGCUGGGGCUCCGGGGCGGUGGCGGGUCAGACCCUCGGGCGGGCAGGGUCUGUGGGUUGGCUGGCGGACGCUCGGGGCAAAGACCAAGGUCCUGGCCCUACGGAGGCGGAGACAUUGGGGCUGAGGUGCUGUGGGGAUGUUAGUUAUUCUUAGCCGGGCGUGAUGAGGGCAGGCGGGGGCCAGUGAGGUACUCAGGAAUCCCGAGGCCGGGGUUUUGGUAGUACUAAAGCUCCGUUCCUGACUUCGCUGUGUGACCUGGGGCGGGUGGCUGCCCCUCUCUGAGCCUCAGUUUCUCCAUCCUGACCUUCGAGUUUGACUUGUGUGGAGGUGCACUCCCCAUGACGGAGCCUUCCUUUGGGUGAGGACUGGUGUGUGUACUGGGGCUGCCUGGCUCUCCUGUCGGUCCUCAGCCCCUGUGAGAGAUUGGGCUGUGCGCAGACCCGGAGUCCAGGAGAGCCCUGUCCACCCUGGGCCUGGAGGCCACAAUGAGGUUACAGGUGAAGGGGAUUAGGUUUUUUUUUUCCACCCAGCCCUUGGUGGAUAACGUUGUGCAGCACAAAAGACCAAUUGUUGAGCAGGAGGUUGUCUUCUGGAGAGUGAGAGGCCCAGGGCUGAAAUUUGGGUCAGGCUGGUGCUUUGGGAGGACCUGCAGACCUCUGUUUUCUGUCUAACUCCUAGGUUUUCUGCCCGGGGCUCCCUGGUAUUUUUUUUCUCCUGGGUGUGCCCAUGCAGCUCCUGUUACGUCUGAGCUUUGGCAUGACCACUAGUACCCACUUGUGCCCCUUUUCUCAGCCGUUUGCUAGGGAACUGUCAAGUAGCCGUGUAAGUGUGGGCCGGCGCUCCACUUGCUCUUAAAAGGCUUGGAAACUAUGAGAGGCUGGGGGAAUAGCACGUUGCACAAGUUUGUAAAAUGGGAGGAAACUAAGCGAGCAAAGGACUUCCUCCGUGUUCGUUCUUUUCUUCCGUUGCAGCCUCUGCAAGAUACAGUCGCAGCACACGAUGGUGCUGAUAGUUUGCAUCUCUCAUGGGCUUAGCUCACUUGAAGGGCUGAUCUUGAGGGAGCUGUUGCAUCAGUUUCCAUGACAUUCUGGGCUCUGGUACUGGGACAGGUGAGAGCUUAAGAUUAAGUACAUAUCUUCCCCUUGCCCCUUCGAAAGGGCAGCAUCCAGACAGUUGGCAGAGGACAGGCCCGAUGGCAGCAGAAAGAGGUGGGUUCUGUUUUCUCAGCCAGCACGCCAGAGCCUGUUGGAGCGCUUCAUCUCCUAAGUAGAGGGAGGUCUUCUGUGAGAAGUCGGGGCAGCUCUGAAGCAGUUAUCUGCCGCUGGGUGAUAAAUGCAAAGUGAUCUCAGAAUCUUCUGUGACCUUUCAGAAAUCCGAAACUAGCCACUUGCUGGUUCAGACCGGGAUCUUUGAGCUAAGUUGUGAUGUUGAAGUGAGAUGUAAAGCUUCUGGUCGAGUGGCAGCCUGUUCCAUCUGAUUCUCUUGGCCUCUUCAGACUCCUAGACCUUGCAUGGGUCUCAGACAAGUAGCUGUUAACAGGAGAACCCCCUGAAGACUUUUCUUGCCCUCAGAAAACAGUUUGUUGUGGAAUUCUACAGUGGGAGCCUAGAUCAAGCGAGGUGACCCACAAACGUUCACUUAGAAGGGGUGCUUUGCACAGAGAAGUCCUCGGGGACGGAAGGUUCAGGAAGAGGGAGACAUCAAUAUUUAUUAGCAGAAAGACAGUUUUGGGACAUAGAAGCUCACUGGCUCGCUUGUUUUCUUUGCGGCUUAAAAUCUACUGUAACAAACUUGUAGAUUUUACAGGUGGUGCGUAUGUGAACUAAAGCUCCAAAUGUGAAUGAUGAGGAUUUGAACAAAGUCUUUAUCACCAGACCACAGACAGUUCACAGAAGGCCCAGUGAAGAGAGAGCCUGGAGGAAAAAGUCAUCUCUCCAGUAGCCUGUGACCACUGCAGCCUGUGGCUGAAAAGUCCUUGGGCUCCUUGGUUUUCAAGGU
Long non-coding RNA from Lagenorhynchus albirostris (white-beaked dolphin), 2011 nucleotides. RefSeq lists it as uncharacterized. The transcript is spliced from 5 exons. Lineage: Eukaryota; Metazoa; Chordata; Mammalia; Artiodactyla; Delphinidae. The record is from RefSeq and is a predicted model, not a curated record.